RNAcentral lists this unclassified non-coding RNA (183 nucleotides) under rhizosphere metagenome. RNAcentral describes it as "partial ribosomal RNA internal transcribed spacer region". The record is from RNAcentral.
GAGUUCAUGCCCUCACGGGUAGAUCUCCCACCCUUGAAUAUUAUACCUUCGUUGCUUUGGCAGGCCGUGGAGACACCAGAGGCUCCGGCUGACGCGUGCCUGCCAGAGGAAACAAACUCUGUUUUAGUGAUGUCUGAGUACUAUAUAAUAGUUAAAACUUUCAACAACGGAUCUCUUGGCUCU